This 484-nucleotide ribosomal RNA is filed under the name uncultured bacterium. RNAcentral describes it as "partial 16S ribosomal RNA". It matches the Rfam family "Bacterial small subunit ribosomal RNA", at positions 30 to 507 of the family's 1533-position model. The record is from RNAcentral.
AUUGAACGCUGGCGGCAUGCCUAACACAUGCAAGUCGAGCGGAAGCAGGGGGCUUUGCCCCUGGUGGCGCGUGGGGCGGGUGUGUGAAGUACAGGGGAAUACCUGCUGGAGGGGGGUAAAGUCCGGAGACGGGCGCUUAUAUACCGCACGCGCUGAACGAGAAAGAGGGGGGUCCUUGGAGCCCACGCGCUAUGGUGUUACUAGGUGGGAUUAGCUAGUUGGUGGGGUAAAGGCCUACCAAGGCGACGAUCCGUAACUGGUCUGAGAGGAUGAUCAGCCACACUGGAACUGAGACACGGUCCAGACUCCUACGGGAGGCAGCAGUGGGGAAUAUUGGACAAUGGGCGAAAGCCUGAUCCAGCAAUGCCGCGUGUGUGAAGAAGGUCUUCGGAUUGUAAAGCACUUUUAUUUGGGAAGAAAUCCUGUGCGCUAAUACCUUCCUGUUUUGACGGUACCGAAAGAAUAAGCACCGGCUAACUACGUG